Phrynosoma platyrhinos (Desert horned lizard) is the source of this 73-nucleotide non-coding RNA. NCBI's taxonomy places the organism in Eukaryota, Metazoa, Chordata, Lepidosauria, Squamata, Phrynosomatidae. The record is from the annotation of a GenBank genome assembly.
GAACCAGUGUGGCAUAAUGGUUUGAACGCUGGACUAUGACUCUGGAGACCGGGGUUCGAUUCCUGCUGGACCA